UGUAGUCAUAUGCUUGUCUCAAAGAUUAAGCCAUGCAUGUCUAAGUAUAAGCAAUUAUACAGCGAAACUGCGAAUGGCUCAUUAAAUCAGUUAUCGUUUAUUUGAUAGUACCUUACUACAUGGAUAACCGUGGUAAUUCUAGAGCUAAUACAUGCUAAAAAUCCCGACUUCGGAAGGGAUGUAUUUAUUAGAUUAAAAACCAAUGCCCUUCGGGGCUCUCUGGUGAUUCAUAAUAACUUCUCGAAUCGCACGGCCUUGCGCCGGCGAUGGUUCAUUCAAAUUUCUGCCAUCAACUUUCGACGGCUGGGUCUUGGCCAGCCAUGGUGACAACGGGUAACGGAGGGUUAGGGCUCGACCCCGGAGAAGGAGCCUGAGAAACGGCUACUACAUCCAAGGAAGGCAGCAGGCGCGCAAAUUACCCAAUCCCGACUCGGGGAGGUAGUGACAAUAAAUACUGAUACAGGGCUCUUUUGGGUCUUGUAAUUGGAAUGAGUACAAUUUAAAUCCCUUAACGAGGAACAAUUGGAGGGCAAGUCUGGUAAUCGAAUCCCGC
Molecule: ribosomal RNA, 553 nt
Filed under: uncultured eukaryote
Lineage: Eukaryota
Description: SSU rRNA
Rfam family: Eukaryotic small subunit ribosomal RNA
Source: RNAcentral